GAUGAAGAACGUAGCGAAAUGCGAUAAGUAAUGUGAAUUGCAGAAUUCAGUGAAUCAUCGAAUCUUUGAACGCACAUUGCGCCCAUUAGUAUUCUAGUGGGCAUGCCUGUUCGAGCGUCAUUAAGUCCACUUAAGCCCUGCUUAGUGUUGGGAGACUGCUCCAGCGGUGCUACCCUGUAGCUACCCUGCAGCUCCUCAAAGACAGCGGCGGAGUUGUGGUAUCCUCUGAGCUUAGUAACUUGUUCUAGCUUUCGAGUACNNCACUUCCCCUGCCGUAAAACCCUUAAUUUUUAAUGGUUGACCUCGGAUCAGGCAGGAAUACCCGCUGAACUUAAGCAUAUCAAUAAGCGGAGGA
RNAcentral lists this unclassified non-coding RNA (355 nucleotides) under soil metagenome. Its description in RNAcentral is "partial contains 5.8S ribosomal RNA, internal transcribed spacer 2, and large subunit ribosomal RNA". The stretch from base 1 to 120 matches the Rfam family "5.8S ribosomal RNA", at positions 35 to 154 of the family's 154-position model. The record is from RNAcentral.